UAUAUUUCGAUCCGUAACCUCGAC
This 24-nucleotide non-coding RNA is filed under the name Arabidopsis thaliana (thale cress). The record is from RNAcentral. Lineage: Eukaryota; Viridiplantae; Streptophyta; Magnoliopsida; Brassicales; Brassicaceae.